GACGAACGCUGGCGGCGUGCUUAACACAUGCAAGUCGAACGGGCCUUGUCCCCUUUUUUUUUGGGGGUGGGGUUAGUGGCGAACGGGUGAGUAACACGUGAGUAACCUGCCCCUCACUUCUGGAUAACCGCUUGAAAGGGUGGCUACUACGGGGUGUUCUGGCCUGCUCGCAUGGGUGGGUUUGGAAAGAUUCGACCGGUUUGGUUGUUUUGGUGGGGGAUGGGCUCGCGGCCUAUCAGCUUGUUGGUGGGGUGAUGGCCCGCCAAGGCUUUGACGGGUAGCCGGCCUGAGAGUGUGGGCGGUCACACUGGGACUGAGACACGGCCCAGACUCCUACGGGAGGCAGCAGUGGGGAAUAUUGCACAAUGGGCGCAAGCCUGAUGCAGCGACGCCGCGUGAGGGAUGGAGGCCUUCGGGUUGUGAACCUCUUUCGCCAGUGAAGAAGGUCCUGCUCUUUGUGGUGGGGUUGACGGUAGCUGGGUUAAUGAAGCGCCGGCUAACUACGUG
RNAcentral lists this ribosomal RNA (507 nucleotides) under uncultured bacterium. Its description in RNAcentral is "partial 16S ribosomal RNA". It matches the Rfam family "Bacterial small subunit ribosomal RNA", at positions 28 to 507 of the family's 1533-position model. The record is from RNAcentral.